CCUACGGGAGGCAGCAGUGAGGAAUAUUGGUCAAUGGACGCAAGUCUGAACCAGCAAUGCCGCGUGCAGGAAGACGGCUCUCUGAGUUGUAAACUGCGUUUGUACGAGGGUAAAAGAAGAUACGCGAAUCAGUCUGAAAGUAUAGUACGAAGAAGGAUCGGCUAACUACGUGCCAGCAGCCGCGGUAAUACGGAGGAUUCGAGCGUUAUCCGGAUUUAUUGGGUUUAAAGGGUGCGUAGGGGGUUGGUUAAGUCAGAGGUGAAAUCUCGCGGCUCAACUUCGGAAUUGCAUCUGAGACUGUUCGGCUAGAGAGUAGUUGCGGUAGGCGGAAUGCAUGGUGUAGCGGUAAAAUGCUUAGAGAUCACACAGAACACCGAUUGCGAAGGCAGCUUACCAAGCUACCUCUGACGUUGAGGCACGAAAGCGUGGGGAGCAAACAGGAUUAGAUACCCGAGUAGUC
Molecule: ribosomal RNA, 460 nt
Filed under: uncultured bacterium
Lineage: Bacteria
Description: partial 16S ribosomal RNA
Rfam family: Bacterial small subunit ribosomal RNA
Source: RNAcentral